RNAcentral lists this ribosomal RNA (310 nucleotides) under Algyroides fitzingeri. RNAcentral describes it as "partial 12S ribosomal RNA". It matches the Rfam family "Bacterial small subunit ribosomal RNA", at positions 869 to 1344 of the family's 1533-position model. Lineage: Eukaryota; Metazoa; Chordata; Lepidosauria; Squamata; Lacertidae. The record is from RNAcentral.
CCGCCAGAGAACUACAAGUGAAAAACUUGAAACUCAAAGGACUUGACGGUGUCCCACAUCGGCCUAGAGGAGCCUGUCCUAUAAUCGAUACUCCCCGCUCCACCCAACCCCAACUAGCAUGUGUCAGCCUAUAUACCGCCGUCGAUCAGCCUACCCUGUGAAGGUCCAACAGUAGACACAACAGCCCCUUCGCUAAUACGUCAGGUCAAGGUGUAGCAAAUGUUGGGGAAGAGAUUGGCUACAUUUUUUAUAAUAAAAAAUACGAAAAACACUAUGAAACCGUGCAUGAAGGUGAAUUUAGUAGUAAAAU